CAGUCGCCGCGGUAAAACGUAGGGUGCAAGCGUUAAUCGGAAUUACUGGGCGUAAAGCGUGCGCAGGCGGUUUGUUAAGACAGAUGUGAAAUCCCCGGGCUCAACCUGGGAACUGCAUUUGUGACUGGCAAGCUAGAGUCUGGCAGAGGGGGGUGGAAUUCCGCGUGUAGCAGUGAAAUGCGUAGAUAUGCGGAGGAACACCGAUGGCGAAGGCAGCCCCCUGGGCCAACACUGACGCUCAUGCACGAAAGCGUGGGGAGCAAACAGGAUUAGAUACCCCGGUAGUCCCUGUCUCUUAUAC
Molecule: ribosomal RNA, 301 nt
Filed under: uncultured bacterium
Lineage: Bacteria
Description: partial 16S ribosomal RNA
Rfam family: Bacterial small subunit ribosomal RNA
Source: RNAcentral